RNAcentral lists this long non-coding RNA (2520 nucleotides) under Gallus gallus (chicken). The record is from RNAcentral. Lineage: Eukaryota; Metazoa; Chordata; Aves; Galliformes; Phasianidae.
GACUACAGCCCUCCACCUUCACUGUUGUUGCUCCACUUGCAGGUGACGGCAAGACAAGCAAAAUAGGACGUCAAAGGUGGACGUCAAAGAAGGGAAAAGCUUAACGGCCAAGAAGAAACUUAUCCCCGAGCUCGAUCACACGACCGUCGCGACGCUCUCAUUAAUACUAACUCCAAGAUUAUUCAUACUCUUCAAGUUACCAACUUCCACGUACCUCGCGUAUGCACUCACGGCCGUGCUGCUGCUGUGCCGUACAACGCCAACCGCAGCAAUAAGGCACGCAGAAAGCCCACCUGUUGGAGACAGAGCAAUGAGCUGUGCUUAACCAACACUGCCUCAGCGCACGCUUACCGUACGGCACGCCUACCUUGCAAUGGCCGCGCAGGAACCUCGGGACACAGUUACGGGGCUCAGAGGGGACUGGGGGCCCGCAGAACUCGGCGCCAGAGGAGGACCAGAUGUUAAAUAAUGCCACCCAGCUAAUGCUGGGGGCGGGGGCCGCGCAGCGGGUAAGGAGCCGAGCGCCUGGACCAGCGAUGGCGGAGCUGUGACGGCGCCGAUGCGGGGCCUGGCACGGUGGUGUGGUGCCAGGCCAGCUAUGCCGCAGGCGGAUCCACCUCCAUGGGCUCCACGGUGGUGCUCACGCUGCUGGUCCAGGUGCGAUGGAAACGCACUCUCCUGCCCCUCCUCCGCUUGAUGGUCAUGGCGGGCCCCCUCCUCCUCUUCGCUUCUGGGGCCCCCAGCUCCCUCUUCCCACCUACAAUAGGGCAAUCGUCCCCUCUCGCUCUCUUCGUGCCUGACAUGGCUCUCAACCGCCAGAGCACUCCGAGGCGAGUGCGUUGCGUGGGGCAGCGGUGACCAAGGUGACAGCUGGGACAUGGCGAAGGUUCUAAAAUGGCAGCCGCACUGCUGGCAGUGGCCUUCCACGGAGGAGGAGGAGGGGGCUGCAGGACAGGGCACGGGACGCCAGGUAGAAGGCGCUCCCUGUGCCCAGCGGGCAGCCCUUCUCUCCGGCCAGCAAGAGGGCACACAGGAGCCGGCCCCGACAAAAGGGCCCUCAGCCUCCUUCACCCUCGCCCUCCUUCCACAAGGGAAUCCCCUUCUCAGCCUGGGACACGCAGCACACAGCCGCUCGCUGUGAUGGCAUCUCCUGAGGCCAGUGCAAACAACAGCAGGCUCCAAAGCGCACCUGACUACGCCUGCCUCCUGCGAGACAGAAGCCAUGGCUUCCAUUUCAGCAUCCAGUGCCUCUUCCCAUGUGCGGUCCCAUGCUGGGAUUCCAACAUUACCUACAAUAAAUACGUCCAACUGAGUGUUGAACAACAGUUUCAGAGUCUCUGAGGAAAUACGUUAUAGGGAACAAGCUUCCUCAACGAGGCUGCUUGCGACUCGCCUCGCUUAUAAAGCCCUUGCAUUCAACAAUCCCAUUCCCAAAAUAACAUACCUACUAUUUGCUAGAGCAUCUCAGACAGCCUGGGGGGCAAAGUCGUGGUAGGUAAGUAUUGCAGGACACCACUUCCAGAGGACACCCGGGGACUUGGAAGGAUGUCAGUCACUGCAGGCCUGUGGACUACGGCAGCGUCCUUGCCCUACUGCUCAUGCUCGGCGACAGCAAGAGAGCAUCUCCUCCUGCCACGAAGCAGGCAGCUGGCAGCGGGGAGCAGAGAGGCAGCAGCUGGGGCACAGAGCUGUCAGCAGAACAUGAAGAACAUGCACGCUAAGCGAGGUGCGUGCGGGUCAGACCCCGAGCCCAGGAAUGCUUCAGCUGCACUCAGGGGACAGGCAUGCGCUGGCGUUGCGGCUCCAUGCCGAGGGCCAGAGCUGCUGCAGGGCCAGCGCUGGGCCUGGGGGCUACAUCAGCCCGGGCAGCUUCUGCCAGCUCCCAGAGAGCUUCUCCCCUCUGCACUUUCUCUGGGCAGGGGACCAGGGAAAACCAGGGCAACAGGCACAGACCUGAUGCGGGCCACAGGCUGCCGUGCCUGCCGAGAGCAUCAGGGGUGCUACGGCCAUACGCAGGAAGCUUGAUCCUUGUGGGAAGACACUGCUAGGACAGCACCCGCUUGUCCUUCUUGCCAACCGUGGCUGCGUCCGUGCCCACUCAUCGGGGCUGUCCUCCCGGUGCCAAGCCAGCAGAGCACAGCCCGCAGUGGCUGUGGGGGCCAAGAUAUUCAUUGGGAGCUGCCUGCCACAGCAUCCAGCUCAGCUCCUACAAGCACCACUCGCUCGCACCGCACCGCACCGCACCGCACGCCUCGCCUCUGCGUGCGUGCCGGCAGCACCACGAGCUCCUCCCCCGAGAGCCCCUCCAUGCCCCCGCCCCGAGCCCCGAGCCCCGACCCCGUGCCCAGGACACAGCCCGCUCCUCCCGGCCCCGCUCACCGGCCUCGCGCCGCCAUGCCGCGCUGCCCCGGAACUGCUCUCCGCCGCCGCCAAGCACUUCCUGCCCCGGCCCUAGCAACCGCCUGCGGCGUCACGUUGCUAAGGGCGGCCUGGGGGCGGCCCGGGGCCUGUGGGGGGGGC